UACGUAGGGGGCAAGCGUUAUCCGGAAUUACUGGGUGUAAAGGGAGCGUAGACGGUAAUGUAAGUCUGGAGUGAAAGGCGGGGGCCCAACCUCCGGACUGCUCUGGAAACUAUGUUACUAGAGUGCAGGAGAGGUAAGCGGAAUUCCUAGUGUAGCGGUGAAAUGCGUAGAUAUUAGGAGGAACACCAGUGGCGAAGGCGGCUUACUGGACUGUAACUGACGUUGAGGCUCGAAAGCGUGGGGAGCAAACAGG
RNAcentral lists this ribosomal RNA (253 nucleotides) under uncultured bacterium. Its description in RNAcentral is "partial 16S ribosomal RNA". It matches the Rfam family "Bacterial small subunit ribosomal RNA", at positions 524 to 776 of the family's 1533-position model. The record is from RNAcentral.